RNAcentral lists this ribosomal RNA (423 nucleotides) under uncultured eukaryote. RNAcentral's name for it is "SSU rRNA". It matches the Rfam family "Eukaryotic small subunit ribosomal RNA", at positions 592 to 1017 of the family's 1831-position model. The record is from RNAcentral.
CAAUAGCGUAUACUAAAGUUGUUGCAGUUAAAAAGCUCGUAGUUGAAUUUCUGGUCGUGGCGAUCGGUCCGCCCCUCACGGGUGUGCACCUGGUCUCUACGUCCAUCCUCGGGAGGAGCGCGUCUGGCAUUCAGUUGUCGGGUGCGGGAUCCUCGUCAUUUACUGUGAGCAAAAUAGAGUGUUCAAAGCAGGCUUAGGCCGUUGAAUACAUUAGCAUGGAAUAAUAAGAUAGGACCUUGGUCUAUUUUGUUGGUUGCAUUCCAAGGUAAUGAUUAAUAGGGAUAGUUGGGUGAUUUCGUAUUCAAUUGUCAGAGGUGAAAUUCUUGGAUUUAUGGAAGACGAACUACUGCGAAAGCAUUUUACCAAGGAUGUUUUUCAUUAAUCAAGAACGAAAGUUAGGGGAUCGAAGACGAUUGAGUAUCA